AACUACGUGCCAGCAGCCGCGGUAAUACGUAGGUGGCAAGCGUUAUCCGGAUUUAUUGGGCGUAAAGAGAGUGCAGGCGGUUUUCUAAGUCUGAUGUGAAAGCCUUCGGCUUAACCGGAGAAGUGCAUCGGAAACUGGAUAACUUGAGUGCAGAAGAGGGUAGUGGAACUCCAUGUGUAGCGGUGGAAUGCGUAGAUAUAUGGAAGAACACCAGUGGCGAAGGCGGCUACCUGGUCUGCAACUGACGCUGAGACUCGAAAGCAUGGGUAGCGAACAGGAUUAGAUACCCUGGUAG
RNAcentral lists this ribosomal RNA (295 nucleotides) under uncultured bacterium. RNAcentral describes it as "partial 16S ribosomal RNA". It matches the Rfam family "Bacterial small subunit ribosomal RNA", at positions 499 to 793 of the family's 1533-position model. The record is from RNAcentral.